This 234-nucleotide unclassified non-coding RNA is filed under the name plant metagenome. Its description in RNAcentral is "partial contains small subunit ribosomal RNA, internal transcribed spacer 1, and 5.8S ribosomal RNA". The record is from RNAcentral.
UUUCCGUAGGUGAACCUGCGGAAGGAUCAUUAAAGUGUUUGGGCCUCACGGCUCUUCAUUCCGACGCUGUGCGCCUUCGGGCUGCACGCUGAGGGAGCAUAUAUCCACCCCUGUGCACUCGCACGGUGGCGAGCUGGGUAACGGCUCGCCGCUGAUCUUUACACACGUCUAAAAGUCAUUGUAUGUUUAUUUGAGAUAAAAACGCAACUUUCAGCAACGGAUCUCUUGGCUCUC